This 635-nucleotide ribosomal RNA is filed under the name uncultured Marinobacter sp. Its description in RNAcentral is "bacterial SSU rRNA". It matches the Rfam family "Bacterial small subunit ribosomal RNA", at positions 870 to 1504 of the family's 1533-position model. Lineage: Bacteria; Pseudomonadati; Pseudomonadota; Gammaproteobacteria; Pseudomonadales; Marinobacteraceae. The record is from RNAcentral.
CGCCUGGGGAGUACGGCCGCAAGGUUAAAACUCAAAUGAAUUGACGGGGGCCCGCACAAGCGGUGGAGCAUGUGGUUUAACUCGACGCAACGCGAAGAACCUUACCUGGCCUUGACAUCCAGAGAGCUUUCCAGAGAUGGAUUGGUGCCUUCGGGAACUCUGAGACAGGUGCUGCAUGGCCGUCGUCAGCUCGUGUCGUGAGAUGUUGGGUUAAGUCCCGUAACGAGCGCAACCCCUAUCCCUGGUUGCUAGCAGGUAAUGCUGAGAACUCCAGGGAGACUGCCGGUGACAAACCGGAGGAAGGUGGGGAUGACGUCAGGUCAUCAUGGCCCUUACGGCCAGGGCUACACACGUGCUACAAUGGCGCGUACAGAGGGCUGCCAACUCGCUAGAGUGAGCCAAUCCCUUAAAACGCGUCGUAGCCCGGAUCGGAGUCUGCAACUCGACUCCGUGAAGUCGGAAUCGCUAGUAAUCGCGAAUCAGAAUGUCGCGGUGAAUACGUUCCCGGGCCUUGUACACACCGCCCGUCACACCAUGGGAGUGGAUUGCACCAGAAGUAGUUAGUCUAACCUUCGGGAGGACGAUUACCACGGUGUGGUUCAUGACUGGGGUGAAGUCGUAACAAGGUAACCGUA